AGAACGAACGCUGGCGGCAUGGAUUAGGCAUGCAAGUCGAACGAAGCAGCAAUGCUUAGUGGCGGAAGGGUGAGGAACGCGUGAGUAAUCUGCCCUCAAGUUGGGAAUAACAGCUGGAAACGGCUGCUAAUACCGAAUGUGGCUGCAAGACCGCAUGAUUUUGCAGUUAAAGAUUUAUUGCUUGAGGAUGAGCUCGCGUCCCAUUAGCUAGUUGGUGAGGCAACGGCUCACCAAGGCGAUGAUGGGUAGCUGGUCUGAGAGGAUGGUCAGCCACACUGGGACUGAGACACUGCCCAGACUCCUACGGGAGGCUGCAGUCGAGAAUCUUGGGCAAUGCGCGAAAGCGUGACCCAGCAAUGCCGCGUGCGCGAUGAAGGUCUUCGGAUUGUAAAGCGCUGUCAACCGGGACGAAAAAUGACGGUACCGGUGGAGGAAGCCACGGCUAACUACGUGCCAGCCGCCGC
RNAcentral lists this ribosomal RNA (464 nucleotides) under uncultured bacterium. RNAcentral describes it as "bacterial SSU rRNA". It matches the Rfam family "Bacterial small subunit ribosomal RNA", at positions 26 to 518 of the family's 1533-position model. The record is from RNAcentral.